This 482-nucleotide ribosomal RNA is filed under the name uncultured bacterium. RNAcentral's name for it is "partial 16S ribosomal RNA". It matches the Rfam family "Bacterial small subunit ribosomal RNA", at positions 30 to 507 of the family's 1533-position model. The record is from RNAcentral.
AUUGAACGCCGGCGGCAUGCUUUACACAUGCAAGUCGAACGGUAACAGGCCGCAAGGUGCUGACGAGUGGCGAACGGGUGAGUAAUGCAUCGGAACGUGCCCAGUCGUGGGGGAUAACUACUCGAAAGAGUAGCUAAUACCGCAUACGAUCUAUGGAUGAAAGCGGGGGACCGUAAGGCCUCGCGCGAUUGGAGCGGCCGAUGUCAGAUUAGGUAGUUGGUGGGGUAAAGGCUCACCAAGCCAACGAUCUGUAGCUGGUCUGAGAGGACGACCAGCCACACUGGGACUGAGACACGGCCCAGACUCCUACGGGAGGCAGCAGUGGGGAAUUUUGGACAAUGGGCGCAAGCCUGAUCCAGCAAUGCCGCGUGCAGGAAGAAGGCCCUCGGGUUGUAAACUGCUUUUGUACGGAACGAAACGGCUCUGGUUAAUACCCGGGGCUAAUGACGGUACCGUAAGAAUAAGCACCGGCUAACUACGUG